RNAcentral lists this ribosomal RNA (468 nucleotides) under uncultured bacterium. Its description in RNAcentral is "partial 16S ribosomal RNA". It matches the Rfam family "Bacterial small subunit ribosomal RNA", at positions 28 to 507 of the family's 1533-position model. The record is from RNAcentral.
GACGAACGCUGGCGGCGUGCUUAAUACAUGCAAGUCGAACGGAAAGGCCCGGCGUUUGUGGGGUUCUCGAUAGGCGAACGGGUGAGUAACACGUGAGUAACCUGCCCUUGACUUUCGGAUAACUUUAGGAAACUGGGGCUAAUACCGGGUAGGAGCUCCUGCUGCACGGGGGGGGUUGGAAAGUUUCGGCGGUUGUGGAUGGACUCGCGGCUUAUCAGCUAGUUGGUGGGGUAGGGGCUUACCAAGGCUUUGACGGGUACCCGGCCUGAGAGGGUGACCGGCCACAUUGGGACUGAGAUACGGCCCAGACUCCUACGGGAGGCAGCAGUGGAGAAUAUUGCACAAUGGGCGGAAGCCUGAUGCAGCAACGCCGCGUGCGGGAUGACGGCCUUCGGGUUGUAAACCGCUUUCGCCUGUGACGAAGCGUGAGUGACGGUAAUGGGUAAAGAAGCACCGGCUAACUACGUG